Molecule: ribosomal RNA, 233 nt
Filed under: uncultured bacterium
Lineage: Bacteria
Description: partial 16S ribosomal RNA
Rfam family: Bacterial small subunit ribosomal RNA
Source: RNAcentral
UCGGAAUCACUGGGCUUAAAGCGCGUGUAGGCGGGUGGGAACGUCGGUAGUUGAAAGCCCCCGGCUCAACCGGGGAAGUGGUGCCGAAACGACCCGUCUGGAGGGACGUAGGGGGACCUGGAACUUCCGGUGGAGCGGUGAAAUGCGUUGAGAUCGGAAGGAACGCCCGUGGCGAAAGCGAGGUCCUGGACGUCUACUGACGCUGAGACGCGAAAGCUAGGGGAGCAAACGGG